This 468-nucleotide ribosomal RNA is filed under the name uncultured bacterium. RNAcentral's name for it is "partial 16S ribosomal RNA". It matches the Rfam family "Bacterial small subunit ribosomal RNA", at positions 28 to 507 of the family's 1533-position model. The record is from RNAcentral.
GACGAACGCUGGCGGCGUGCUUAACACAUGCAAGUCGAACGGAAAGGCCCUGCUUUUGUGGGGUGCUCGAUUGGCGAACGGGUGAGUAACACGUGAGUAACCUGCCCUUGACUUUGGGAUAACUUCAGGAAACUGGGGCUAAUACCGUAUAGGAGCUCCUGCUGCAUGGUGGGGAUUGGAAAGUUUCGGCGGUUGGGGAUGGACUCGCGGCUUAUCAGCUUGUUGGUGGGGUAGUGGCUUACCAAGGCUGUGACGGGUAGCCGGCCUGAGAGGGUGACCGGCCACAUUGGGACUGAGAUACGGCCCAGACUCCUACGGGAGGCAGCAGUGGGGAAUAUUGCACAAUGGGCGGAAGCCUGAUGAAGCAACGCCGCGUGCGGGAUGACGGCCUUCGGGUUGUAAACCGCUUUCGCCUGUGACGAAGCGUGAGUGACGGUAAUGGGUAAAGAAGCACCGGCUAACUACGUG